UUAAAUUGAAGAGUUUGAUCAUGGCUCAGAUUGAACGCUGGCGGCAGGCCUAACACAUGCAAGUCGAACGGUAACAGGAAGAAGCUUGCUUCUUUGCUGACGAGUGGCGGACGGGUGAGUAAUGUCUGGGAAACUGCCUGAUGGAGGGGGAUAACUACUGGAAACGGUAGCUAAUACCGCAUAACGUCGCAAGACCAAAGAGGGGGACCUUCGGGCCUCUUGCCAUCGGAUGUGCCCAGAUGGGAUUAGCUAGUUGGUGGGGUAACGGCUCACCUAGGCGACGAUCCCUAGCUGGUCUGAGAGGAUGACCAGCCACACUGGAACUGAGACACGGUCCAGACUCCUACGGGAGGCAGCAGUGGGGAAUAUUGCACAAUGGGCGCAAGCCUGAUGCAGCCAUGCCGCGUGUAUGAAGAAGGCCUUCGGGUUGUAAAGUACUUUCAGCGGGGAGGAAGGGAGUAAAGUUAAUACCUUUGCUCAUUGACGUUACCCGCAGAAGAAGCACCGGCUAACUCCGUGCCAGCAGCCGCGGUAAUACGGAGGGUGCAAGCGUUAAUCGGAAUUACUGGGCGUAAAGCGCACGCAGGCGGUUUGUUAAGUCAGAUGUGAAAUCCCCGGGCUCAACCUGGGAACUGCAUCUGAUACUGGCAAGCUUGAGUCUCGUAGAGGGGGGUAGAAUUCCAGGUGUAGCGGUGAAAUGCGUAGAGAUCUGGAGGAAUACCGGUGGCGAAGGCGGCCCCCUGGACGAAGACUGACGCUCAGGUGCGAAAGCGUGGGGAGCAAACAGGAUUAGAUACCCUGGUAGUCCACGCCGUAAACGAUGUCGACUUGGAGGUUGUGCCCUUGAGGCGUGGCUUCCGGAGCUAACGCGUUAAGUCGACCGCCUGGGGAGUACGGCCGCAAGGUUAAAACUCAAAUGAAUUGACGGGGGCCCGCACAAGCGGUGGAGCAUGUGGUUUAAUUCGAUGCAACGCGAAGAACCUUACCUGGUCUUGACAUCCACGGAAGUUUUCAGAGAUGAGAAUGUGCCUUCGGGAACCGUGAGACAGGUGCUGCAUGGCUGUCGUCAGCUCGUGUUGUGAAAUGUUGGGUUAAGUCCCGCAACGAGCGCAACCCUUAUCCUUUGUUGCCAGCGGUCCGGCCGGGAACUCAAAGGAGACUGCCAGUGAUAAACUGGAGGAAGGUGGGGAUGACGUCAAGUCAUCAUGGCCCUUACGACCAGGGCUACACACGUGCUACAAUGGCGCAUACAAAGAGAAGCGACCUCGCGAGAGCAAGCGGACCUCAUAAAGUGCGUCGUAGUCCGGAUUGGAGUCUGCAACUCGACUCCAUGAAGUCGGAAUCGCUAGUAAUCGUGGAUCAGAAUGCCACGGUGAAUACGUUCCCGGGCCUUGUACACACCGCCCGUCACACCAUGGGAGUGGGUUGCAAAAGAAGUAGGUAGCUUAACCUUCGGGAGGGCGCUUACCACUUUGUGAUUCAUGACUGGGGUGAAGUCGUAACAAGGUAACCGUAGGGGAACCUGCGGUUGGAUCACCUCCUUACCUUAAAGAAGC
This 1556-nucleotide ribosomal RNA is filed under the name Escherichia coli. Its description in RNAcentral is "bacterial SSU rRNA". It matches the Rfam family "Bacterial small subunit ribosomal RNA". The record is from RNAcentral. Lineage: Bacteria; Pseudomonadati; Pseudomonadota; Gammaproteobacteria; Enterobacterales; Enterobacteriaceae.